This 336-nucleotide ribosomal RNA is filed under the name Cyanobacteria bacterium J069. Its description in RNAcentral is "bacterial SSU rRNA". It matches the Rfam family "Bacterial small subunit ribosomal RNA", at positions 1 to 366 of the family's 1533-position model. The record is from RNAcentral. Lineage: Bacteria; Bacillati; Cyanobacteriota.
AACAUGGAGAGUUUGAUCCUGGCUCAGGAUGAACGCUGGCGGUCUGCUUAACACAUGCAAGUCGAACGGGCUCUUCGGAGCUAGUGGCGGACGGGUGAGUAACGCGUGAGAAUCUGCCCUUAGGACGGGGACAACAGCUGGAAACGGCUGCUAAUACCCGAUGUGCCGAGAGGUGAAAUCUAAUUGGCCUGAGGAUGAGCUCGCGUCUGAUUAGCUAGUUGGAGGUGUAAUGGACCCCCAAGGCGACGAUCAGUAGCUGGUCUGAGAGGAUGAUCAGCCACACUGGGACUGAGACACGGCCCAGACUCCUACGGGAGGCAGCAGUGGGGAAUUUUC